CCCUUAGAUGUUCUGGGCCGCACGCGCGCUACACUGUUCGACGCAGCGAGUCUUAACCUUGACCGAAAGGUUUGGGUAAUCUUCAGCAAAGUCGAACGUGAUGGGGAUCGAUCAUUGCAAUUAUUGCUCGUGAACGAGGAAUUCCUAGUAAGUGCAAGUCAUCAGCUUGCGCUGAUUACGUCCCUGCCCUUUGUACACACCGCCCGUCGCUACUACCGAUUGAAUGGUUUAGUGAGAUCUCUGGAUUGACGCUGGCUAGGGGGCGACCCUUGGCCAGACUGUUGAGAAACUGCUCAAACUUGAUCAUUUAGAGGAAGUAAAAGUCGUAACA
This 331-nucleotide ribosomal RNA is filed under the name uncultured eukaryote. RNAcentral's name for it is "partial 18S ribosomal RNA". It matches the Rfam family "Eukaryotic small subunit ribosomal RNA", at positions 1470 to 1796 of the family's 1831-position model. The record is from RNAcentral.